UGAGGAAUAUUGGGCAAUGCCCGCAAGGGUGACCCAGCAACGCCGCGUGGAGGAUGAAUGUCGUAAGAUUGUAAACUCCUGUUAGAGGGGAAGAAUAGUACCGGUUGGACCGGUAUAUGACUGUACCCUCAGAGUAAGCCCCGGCUAACUACGUGCCAGCAGCCGCGGUAAUACGUAGGGGGCAAGCGUUGUCCGGAUUUACUGGGUGUAAAGGGCGCGCAGGCGGGAUAAAAAGUCAGUGGUGAAAUCCUACAGCUUAAAUGUAGAACUGCCUUUGNUACUUGUAUUCUUGAGUUCGGGAGAGGGAGACGGAAUUCCAGGUGUAGUGGUGAAAUACGUAGAUAUCUGGAAGAACACCAGUUGCGAAGGCGGUCUCUUGGUCCGACACUGACGCUGAGGGGCGAAAGCGUGGGGAGCAAACA
Molecule: ribosomal RNA, 422 nt
Filed under: uncultured bacterium
Lineage: Bacteria
Description: bacterial SSU rRNA
Rfam family: Bacterial small subunit ribosomal RNA
Source: RNAcentral